CAGCCGCCGCGGGAAUACGAAGGGUGCAAGCGUUAAUCGGAAUUACUGGGCGUAAAGCGUGCGUAGGCGGUUUGUUAAGUCUGUUGUGAAAUCCCCGGGCUCAACCUGGGAAUGGCAAUGGAUACUGGCAAGCUAGAGUGUGUCAGAGGAUGGUGGAAUUCCCGGUGUAGCGGUGAAAUGCGUAGAGAUCGGGAGGAACAUCAGUGGCGAAGGCGGCCAUCUGGGACAACACUGACGCUGAGGCACGAAAGCGUGGGGAGCAAACAGGAUUAGAUACCCCAGUAGUCCCUGUCUCAUACAC
This 301-nucleotide ribosomal RNA is filed under the name uncultured bacterium. RNAcentral's name for it is "partial 16S ribosomal RNA". It matches the Rfam family "Bacterial small subunit ribosomal RNA", at positions 509 to 809 of the family's 1533-position model. The record is from RNAcentral.